This 119-nucleotide ribosomal RNA is filed under the name Pteropus alecto (black flying fox). Lineage: Eukaryota; Metazoa; Chordata; Mammalia; Chiroptera; Pteropodidae. The record is from RNAcentral.
GUCUAUGGCCAUACCACCUUGAAUGUGCUCGAUCUCAUCUGAUCUCGGAAGCUAAGCAGGGUCAGACCUGGUUAUUACUUGGAUGGGAGACCACCUAGGAAGCCCGGAUGCUGUAAGCA